RNAcentral lists this ribosomal RNA (461 nucleotides) under uncultured bacterium. RNAcentral's name for it is "bacterial SSU rRNA". It matches the Rfam family "Bacterial small subunit ribosomal RNA", at positions 29 to 524 of the family's 1533-position model. The record is from RNAcentral.
AACGAACGCUGGCGGCAUGCCUAACACAUGCAAGUCGAACGGGAUCCUGGCUUCGGUCAGGUGAGAGUGGCGGACGGGUGAGUAACGCGUGGGAACCUGCCCAGUGGUGGGGGAUAACUGCGGGGAACUGCAGCUAAUACCGCAUGAGCCCGAGAGGGGAAAGAUUUAUCGCCAUUGGAGGGGCCCGCGUUCGAUUAGGUAGUUGGUGAGGUAACGGCUCACCAAGCCGACGAUCGAUAGCUGGUCUGAGAGGAUGAUCAGCCACACUGGGACUGAGAUACGGCCCAGACUCCUACGGGAGGCAGCAGUGGGGAAUAUUGGACAAUGGGGGGCAACCCUGAUCCAGCAAUGCCGCGUGAGUGAUGAAGGCCUUCGGGUUGUAAAGCUCUUUUGGCGGGGACGAUGAUGACGGUACCCGCAGAAUAAGCCCCGGCUAACUUCGUGCCAGCAGCCGCGGUAAU